CCUACGGGGGGCUGCAGUGGGGAAUAUUGCACAAUGGGCGCAAGCCUGAUGCAGCCAUGCCGCGUGUGUGAAGAGGGCCUUCGGGUUGUAAAGCACUUUCAGCGGGGAGGAAGGCGGUGAGGUUAAUAACCUCAUCGAUUGACGUUACCCGCAGAAGAAGCACCGGCUAACUCCGUGCCAGCAGCCGCGGUAGUACGGAGGGUGCAAGCGUUAAUCGGAAUUACUGGGCGUAAAGCGCACGCAGGCGGUCUGUCAAGUCGGACGUGAAAUCCCCGGGCUCAACCUGGGAACUGCAUUCGAAACUGGCAGGCUAGAGUCUUGUAGAGGGGGGUAGAAUUCCAGGUGUAGCGGUGAAAUGCGUAGAGAUCUGGAGGAAUACCGGUGGCGAAGGCGGCCCCCUGGACAAAGACUGACGCUCAGGUGCGAAAGCGUGGGGAGCAAACAGCAUUAGAUACCCGAGUAGUC
RNAcentral lists this ribosomal RNA (465 nucleotides) under uncultured Klebsiella sp. RNAcentral's name for it is "bacterial SSU rRNA". It matches the Rfam family "Bacterial small subunit ribosomal RNA", at positions 338 to 795 of the family's 1533-position model. The record is from RNAcentral. Lineage: Bacteria; Pseudomonadati; Pseudomonadota; Gammaproteobacteria; Enterobacterales; Enterobacteriaceae.